This 240-nucleotide unclassified non-coding RNA is filed under the name Hevea brasiliensis (rubber tree). The record is from RNAcentral. Lineage: Eukaryota; Viridiplantae; Streptophyta; Magnoliopsida; Malpighiales; Euphorbiaceae.
AUUCAGGUCCAAGAAGAGGAUCUUGAAGUACACCCAUUGGAGUUAUAGCCAAAUCUAAUGGAACCACCAGUAGUAUCCCAUCAGAUGCAUGAUUAGAUGAGAAAAUUCCAAACCCUUUACUGGAUUCACUGUAUUUGAUUCUGCAACCACGUAGUUCUGCUCUGUUUAACUUUAGCCAUUGAAGAAACUGGUGGAGCUUAGCUUCUUCAGGAGUCGCCAUUGCCGAAGACAGUGUUGGAG